AGAAGAGCAAGCUGGCUGUAACAUCAUAUGCCUCACAAUGGGGCUAGGCUGUCAUACAUCACUGCCCACAGCUUUGCUGUGCUGGUUCAGCUAAGAAGGAGUCUAACUCUGGAGUGAGCUGGACCACAAAAUCCCCAGGAGGACACCUUUCCCUGGUUGUUUUGACUUAAAAGGAAGUAUUGUUUAAGAAAGAGGAAGCUCUGCCCUCAGAAGUGAGAAGAACCAGCAGCAACAGAUUUGCAAACUCUAAAGGUCUUCAGAGCUGGGGGACAGGUUUUGGGGAAAGUAUGUGGAGAGAAGAAUGAAAGCUUGAAAAUUGAGUCUCUGGUUUCAGGGAAGGAAGAAGAUGAAAGUCACAGCUGGACUACACAGUCACAAAGCAUCUGGUCUGUAUAAUUAAGGGGAGCUGAGAAAAUACAAUUAGCCAAACAUGCAGGAAGUCUACGGCAAAUCUUCAUGACAGAAAUGUAGCCAAAGACCAUAUUCCUUCUUGGAUGAAGACUUUAUUCAUCGACUCACGUGGAACGUAAACACCCUGCAUUGCUCCACUCCGGGAAGACGUUUCUUUUUGGCUCCCUCUGGUGGUUGAUCUGUUUAAAAACCUAUUUGUACAAGCUGCUGCUUCACCCUCUGGUCCCAUUCCUGAUUCUGGAUGCAUGUAUAAAAAGCCCUACUUGUUGGCUUAGGAAUUACCCUAGCAGGUGUACAUGAGCAUGACUUAAGGUCUAGUUCAAAAGUAAGUGCUAUUUGGACUGUUAAGAAGAAGAAUGCUAGAGUAAGAACUCAAAGCAACAAUAGUGAAAACUUCUAAAUAACUACAAAACAUCAACAGAUGUACACCAAGCCAUCCUCUAGAAAGGAUGGGGUGGUUAUGUGAAUGCCGACAUCCACACUUCGGUGUCCUUUGGACAAGCCUCACACCUGUAUGACACAGUUAAGUAUCCAUACUUGGGACAGACCAUUUGAUUGCAUGUUAUGGAACAUGACUGGUGUUAUUAUUAAAGGAUCGGUUAUAACAGAGAAAGGCUGUUAUAACCACAAGGGUGUGGAUAGUUUCAUAUGUAAUGACGUAUGUGGAUCCCAAAGAGUGAAGUAUUUCUAAGUAAUUCGGUUUAAACUACUCCUUGGAUACAUUUUGUCAAAUGGUGAAUAAAGCUGAUCUGAAACAACAACAAAACACAAAUCAAAUGCCCCCAGGAAGCCUAACUGUAAUCUGUGGCUGCAAAUGGGGCUCCUGUAAGAGCAAUAACCCAUACUUCAUUGCCUCAUUUGCUGAGUGAAAUAUUGGUAAGGCACACGGCCUCUGGAGUUGACUUGUCUGGAUUCAGAGCCAAGACAUCGCUCCCCGCU
Molecule: long non-coding RNA, 1350 nt
Organism: Equus asinus (donkey)
Lineage: Eukaryota; Metazoa; Chordata; Mammalia; Perissodactyla; Equidae
Source: Ensembl